This 468-nucleotide ribosomal RNA is filed under the name uncultured bacterium. Its description in RNAcentral is "partial 16S ribosomal RNA". It matches the Rfam family "Bacterial small subunit ribosomal RNA", at positions 28 to 507 of the family's 1533-position model. The record is from RNAcentral.
GAUGAACGCUAGCGGCGUGCUUAAUACAUGCAAGUCGAACGGAAAGCCCCUGCUUUUUUCUGAUGCUCGAGUGGCGAACGGGCGUGUAACACGUGUGUACUCCGUUCUUCACUUGGGUAGCACUUCAGGAAAGUGAGUAAACUCGCAUAUAAUCACUCCACCGCCUUGUUUGGUGAUCGAAUGUUUCGGCGGUAGGGAUUGGACUCCGGGGCAUUCAGUAUGUGGGGGGGUUAGGGGCUUACCAAGGCAUUGACGGGUGGGCGGCCUGAGGGGGUGAACGGACACAUGGGGAAGGAGAUGCGGCCCAGACGCCUACGGGAGGCAGCAGUGGGGAAUAGUGCACAAUGGGCGGAAGCCUGAUGCAGCAACGCCGCGUGCGGGAUGACGACCUUCGGGUUGUAAACCGCUUUCGCCUGUGACGAAGCGUGAGUGACGGUAAUGGGUAAAGAAGCACCGGCUAACUACGUG